AGUGAACGCUGGCGGCGUGCCUAACACAUGCAAGUCGAGCGAAGUGGCAGCUGUAGCAAUACAGUAUGUGCUUAGCGGCAGACGGGUGAGUAACACGUAGACAAUUUUCCUCUUAGAGGGGGAUAGCUAGCCGAAAGGUUAGGUAAUACCCCGUACGAUCAAAAGCUGGCAUCGGCUUUUGAUGAAACAUCCGCAAGGAUGGCUGAGAGACAAGUCUGCGGCCUAUCAGCUAGUUGGUGAGGUAACGGCUCACCAAGGCUACGACGGGUAACCGGCCUGAAAGGGCGAUCGGUCACACUGACACUGAGACACGGGUCAAACACCUACGGGUGGCAGCAGUGAGGAAUCUUGGGCAAUGGGGGCAACCCUGAUCCAGCGACGCCGCGUGGAGGACGAAGGUCUUCGGAUUGUAAACUCCUUUUGUUCGGGACUAAGAAAUCUGUAGAAAUACGGAGAGUGACUGUACCGGAUGAAUAAGCCACGGCUAACUUCGUGCCAGCAGCCGCGGUAAUACGAAGGUGGCAAGCGUUACUCGGAAUUACUAGGCGUAAAGGGCAGGUAGGUGGUCCGGUAAGUCUGUUGUGUAAGCUCCCGGCUUAACUGGGAAAGGUCAACGGAAACUGCCGGGCUUGAGUAUAGGAAAGGGUACUGGAAUUCCCGGUGUAGCGGUGAAAUGCGCAAAGAUCGGGAGGAACACCAAUGGCGAAAGCAGGUACCUGGACUAUUACUGACACUCAGCUGCGAAAGCUAGGGGAGCAAACAGGAUUAGAUACCCUGGUAGUCCUAGCUGUAAACGAUGCACAUUAG
This 807-nucleotide ribosomal RNA is filed under the name uncultured bacterium. RNAcentral's name for it is "bacterial SSU rRNA". It matches the Rfam family "Bacterial small subunit ribosomal RNA", at positions 28 to 819 of the family's 1533-position model. The record is from RNAcentral.